RNAcentral lists this ribosomal RNA (221 nucleotides) under uncultured bacterium. RNAcentral describes it as "partial 16S ribosomal RNA". It matches the Rfam family "Bacterial small subunit ribosomal RNA", at positions 113 to 334 of the family's 1533-position model. The record is from RNAcentral.
CGACGUGGGUAACCUGCCUCAUACAGGGGGAUAGCAGCUGGAAACGGCUGGCAAUACCGCAUAAGCGCACGGUAUCGCAUGAUACAGUGUGAAAAACUCCGGUGGUAUGAGAUGGACCCGCGUCUGAUUAGCUGGUUGGUGAGGUAACGGCCCACCAAGGCGACGAUCAGUAGCCGACCUGAGAGGGUGACCGGCCACAUUGGGACUGAGACACGGCCCAG